UACGUAGGGGGCAAGCGUUGUCCGGAAUCAUUGGGCGUAAAGGGCGCGUAGGCGGAUAAUUAAGUCUGGUGUGAAAGUCCAGGGCUCAACCCUGGGAUUGCAUCGGAAACUGGUUAUCUUGAGGACAGGAGAGGAAAGUGGAAUUCCACGUGUAGCGGUGAAAUGCGUAGAUAUGUGGAGGAACACCAGUGGCGAAGGCGACUUUCUGGACUGUAACUGACGCUGAGGCGCGAAAGCGUGGGGAGCGAAC
RNAcentral lists this ribosomal RNA (250 nucleotides) under uncultured bacterium. RNAcentral's name for it is "partial 16S ribosomal RNA". It matches the Rfam family "Bacterial small subunit ribosomal RNA", at positions 524 to 773 of the family's 1533-position model. The record is from RNAcentral.